RNAcentral lists this ribosomal RNA (510 nucleotides) under Glomus sp. Glo8. RNAcentral describes it as "SSU rRNA". It matches the Rfam family "Eukaryotic small subunit ribosomal RNA", at positions 569 to 1078 of the family's 1831-position model. Lineage: Eukaryota; Fungi; Glomeromycota; Glomeromycetes; Glomerales; Glomeraceae. The record is from RNAcentral.
AGCCACCGCGGUAAUUCCAGCUCCAAUAGCGUAUAUUAAAGUUGUUGCAGUUAAAAAGCUCGUAGUUGAAUUUCGGGGUUAGUAGGUUGGUCAUGCCUCUGGUAUGUACUGGUCUCACUGAUUCCUCCUUCCUGAUGAGCCGUAAUGCCAUUAAUUUGGUGUUGCGGGGAAUUUGGACUGUUACUUUGAAAAAAUUAGAGUGUUUAAAGCAAGCUAACGCUUGAAUACAUUAGCAUGGAAUAAUGAAAUAGGACGUUCGAUCCUAUUUUGUUGGUUUCUAGGAUUGACGUAAUGAUUAAUAGGGAUAGUUGGGGGCAUUAGUAUUCAAUUGUCGGAGGUGAAAUUCUUGGAUUUAUUGAAGACUAACUACUGCGAAAGCAUUUGCCAAGGAUGUUUUCAUUAAUCAAGAACGAAAGUUAGGGGAUCGAAGACGAUCAGAUACCGUGCGUAGUCCUUAACCAUAAAUCAAGCCUAUUUGGGAUCGGAUGAUGUUAAUUUUUUAAUGACUCA